This 72-nucleotide transfer RNA is filed under the name Camelus bactrianus (Bactrian camel). It matches the Rfam family "tRNA". Rfam says of the family: Transfer RNA (tRNA) molecules are approximately 80 nucleotides in length. RNAcentral also lists the same sequence under 2 other names. Lineage: Eukaryota; Metazoa; Chordata; Mammalia; Artiodactyla; Camelidae. The record is from Rfam by way of RNAcentral.
GAGGGGAUAGCUCAGUGGUAGAGCGGGUGCUUAGCAUGCAUGAGGUCCUGGGUUCAAUCCCCAGCAACUUUA